RNAcentral lists this ribosomal RNA (468 nucleotides) under uncultured bacterium. RNAcentral describes it as "partial 16S ribosomal RNA". It matches the Rfam family "Bacterial small subunit ribosomal RNA", at positions 28 to 507 of the family's 1533-position model. The record is from RNAcentral.
GACGAACGCUGGCGGCGUGCUUAACACAUGCAAGUCGAACGGAAAGGCCCUGCUUUUGUGGUUUUCUCGUUUGGCGAACGGGUGAGUAACACGUGUGUAACCUGCCCUUUUCUUUGUUUUAUCUUCUGGAAACUCGGUCUAUUACCCGAUAUGAUCUCCUGCUGCAUGUUUUUGUUUGGUAAUUUUCGGCGGUUGGGUUUGUACUCGCGGCUUUUCCGCUUGUUUGUGGGGUAGUGGCUUACCAAGGGUUUGACGGGUAGCCGGCCUGUGAGGGUGACCGGCGACAUUGGGACUGAGAUACGGCCCAGACUGCUACGGGAGGCAGCAGUGGGGAAUAUUGCACAAUGGGCGGAAGCAUGAUGCAGAAAAGCCGCGGGCGGGAUGACGGCCUUCGGGGUGUAAACAGAUUUAGAAUGUGAAGAAGAGUGAGUGACGGUAAUGGGUAAAGAAGCACCGGCUAACUACGUG